GCCUUCGUGGUGUAGUGGUUAUGCACGCUGAACCGGGAUUUCAGAGGUCCCUGGUUCGAUUCCCGGCGAAGGCG
RNAcentral lists this transfer RNA (74 nucleotides) under Stegodyphus dumicola. RNAcentral describes it as "tRNA-Pro". It matches the Rfam family "tRNA". Rfam says of the family: Transfer RNA (tRNA) molecules are approximately 80 nucleotides in length. Their secondary structure includes four short double-helical elements and three loops (D, anti-codon, and T loops). Further hydrogen bonds mediate the characteristic L-shaped molecular structure. tRNAs have two regions of fundamental functional importance: the anti-codon, which is responsible for specific mRNA codon recognition, and the 3' end, to which the tRNAs corresponding amino acid is attached (by aminoacyl-tRNA synthetases). tRNAs cope with the degeneracy of the genetic code in two manners: having more than one tRNA (with a specific anti-codon) for a particular amino acid; and 'wobble' base-pairing, i.e. permitting non-standard base-pairing at the 3rd anti-codon position. Lineage: Eukaryota; Metazoa; Arthropoda; Arachnida; Araneae; Eresidae. The record is from RNAcentral.